AUACCCUUUUUGUGUGAGUGUGGUAGGAGUCAAAUCCUUCAGGGAAAUGUGCAGCGUUUUCGUUAUUUCUGUUUUAUCACGACUGGGCCCCGGACAGCAAGUUAUGGAGGCACUCUACUCCCACACCAAGCUGGCUGCUCUGAGGAAAGGAGGCAUCUUCACUAAGGAGAUGCUCAGCUCCCAGUGCCCUGAGGAAGAGAAGCUGUCUGUGUGUGAAGGCCCCACAGCUGACAGGAAGAGUCACCAGAUUGUUAUUCAGCCGCAGGAUGUCCUGGCCUCCUAAGACCUUGCCCCUGUCCCCACAGCUUGCCGCCAAGGAGCCUUUAACUGCCAAGGACACAGAGACAGUAAUUCUCUAAUCUGGUCUUCCACAGAAUGUAGCAGAGUAUUGAAUGAGGCAUUCUCUCUACAUUUCACCACAGGAGCCACAAUAGCUAUGGAGGGAAGCCAGCUGCAAGGACUAUACUAAGGCCACCAUGCUGUGAGGAAACUCAUCCACAUGGAAUUCUUGCAGAAAAGAAUCGAGGAACAUUACCAACCGCAAGAAUUGAGGCCCCAGAUAUAUGACUCUAGUUGAGGCUGCCAGUCAACCAUCAGUCACUGAAACCAUUCCAGCUCUGGCCCAAGUCAUCAUGGAGCAGAGACAAGCCAUUAACUCUGUACCGUGUCCAAAUUCUUGGCUCACAGAAUCAUGAGCAUAUAAGAUGGUUAAUGUCUUAAGCCAUUAAAUUUAGGGGUAGUUUGUACACAAUAGAUAACUGAAAUACUAGCUAUGUUACCUUGGGCAAAUCAUUAACUCUUUGAGAUUUGAUAUUCCUAUCUAUAAAAAUAGGGAUGGUAAU
This 842-nucleotide long non-coding RNA is filed under the name Equus caballus (horse). RNAcentral's name for it is "lncRNA (ENSECAG00000052527.1)". The record is from RNAcentral. Lineage: Eukaryota; Metazoa; Chordata; Mammalia; Perissodactyla; Equidae.